GGCGGACGGGUGAGUAAUACUUAGGAAUCUGCCCAUUAGUGGGGGACAACAUUCGGAAACGGAUGCUAAUACCGCAUACGCCCUACGGGGGAAAGCGGGGGAUCUUCGGACCUCGCGCUAAUGGAUGAGCCUAAGUCGGAUUAGCUUGUUGGUGAGGUAAAAGCUCACCAAGGCGACGAUCCGUAGCUGGUCUGAGAGGACGAUCAGCCACACUGGGACUGAGACACGGCCCAG
Molecule: ribosomal RNA, 234 nt
Filed under: uncultured bacterium
Lineage: Bacteria
Description: partial 16S ribosomal RNA
Rfam family: Bacterial small subunit ribosomal RNA
Source: RNAcentral